Rhipicephalus sanguineus (brown dog tick) is the source of this 798-nucleotide long non-coding RNA. RefSeq lists it as uncharacterized. The record is from RefSeq and is a predicted model, not a curated record. The transcript has 4 exons. Lineage: Eukaryota; Metazoa; Arthropoda; Arachnida; Ixodida; Ixodidae.
AUUCGAAACGCGCGCCGAACCGGACUAUUUCGCGGAGCAGUACAUGUGCAGUAGCUCCGCCCCCGUAGCCUUCCCUUCAUUGCCAAGAAAAGUUGUCCUUGGGGGCGCUUUAGUUGUUUGACGGGUGCACGAUGCGCGCGGUUUGUGUGUGUGUGUGCCAUGCUGUGUUCUGCAAUGCUUCGUUACCACGUUUAUCGAUUAUGCACGUUGGUUACUUGAUUCAAUGUCAAGUGUACCUUCCAAGACGAUCUAGGUCCUAGUCUCGUGACUGAAGGCGAGUGCGGACGUACAGCAGCCUUUUGACAAGACUGUCGCCGAGUGUACGGUACAUUGUGGACUGUAAAGCUGAAGAGUGCACAGUGGAUGCCUGAUUUUGGAACCGAGUGUGAUCGUCUGGGCGGUGUGUUCACUCUGCGGGGAUGAUGGCCAGAGGAAGGAUGAUAGACAGACGACAGCUUGCAGACGAAGAUGGGAGCGUUCUACCUGUGAGCCUGGUCGAGCUUAUAUUUUAUGGAUACACAUGCAUGGAUACACAUACAUGGAUUCCCUACAAGGACCCUGCGCAUCAAAAGCAAUCUGUCAUCAAUGUUAAGUAGACAGAUUAAACGAAACGAAGAUAUGACAGGUGUACACCAUAUUUUUCUUUCAUUUAACCUCUGCAUGUUUCCCAGUCAAUAAAUGUUUUUAUCCAUUUUCUUUUGUUGAGAAAUGUCUUUGUACAGCACAAGUGUCGUAGAAGGUGCAUACAUGCACUUUUGUAUGAUGCUUGGCUGCAUGUGUAUCAACCAGCAAACACAU